UACGUAGGUGGCGAGCGUUGUCCGGAAUCACUGGGCGUAAAGGGCGCGUAGGCGGCUUGACAAGUCGCAUGUGAAGGACCAGGGCUCAACCCUGGGAGGUCAUGCGAAACUGUCUGGCUUGAGUGCAGUAGAGGUAAGCGGAAUUCCUGGUGUAGCGGUAAAAUGCGUAGAGAUCAGGAGGAACACCGGUGGCGAAGGCGGCUUACUGGGCUGCAACUGACGCUGAUGCGCGAAAGCGUGGGGAGCAAACAGG
This 253-nucleotide ribosomal RNA is filed under the name uncultured bacterium. Its description in RNAcentral is "partial 16S ribosomal RNA". It matches the Rfam family "Bacterial small subunit ribosomal RNA", at positions 524 to 776 of the family's 1533-position model. The record is from RNAcentral.